GAGGGUAAAGCUCAGUGGUAGAGCACAUGCUUAGCAUGCAUGAGGUCUUGGGCUCAAUCCUCAGUACCUCCA
RNAcentral lists this transfer RNA (72 nucleotides) under Camelus bactrianus (Bactrian camel). It matches the Rfam family "tRNA". From Rfam's summary of the family: Transfer RNA (tRNA) molecules are approximately 80 nucleotides in length. Their secondary structure includes four short double-helical elements and three loops (D, anti-codon, and T loops). Lineage: Eukaryota; Metazoa; Chordata; Mammalia; Artiodactyla; Camelidae. The record is from Rfam by way of RNAcentral. RNAcentral also lists the same sequence under 2 other names.